This 162-nucleotide unclassified non-coding RNA is filed under the name uncultured fungus. RNAcentral's name for it is "sequence contains ITS1, 5.8S rRNA gene". Lineage: Eukaryota; Fungi. RNAcentral also lists the same sequence under 1 other name. The record is from RNAcentral.
CAGAGUUUUUAACUCCCAAACCCAUGUGAACUUACCAUUGUUGCCUCGGCGGAGCCUACCCUGUAGCUACCCUGUAGGGUGGUUACCCUGUAGCGCCCCGCCGGUGGAUUUUCAAACUCUUGUUAUUUUUAGUAAUCUGAGCGUCUUAUUUUAAAUAAGUCA